GUAACAUUUAAAUUCAUAGUGUAUACUACAACUGGGUUAGUUCCUUCUAGUUUCCAUUAAAGCAAUCAAUCUAGAAUUAAAAACUGGUUUUGGAUAAAUGUAAUGAAGAAAUAAACGUCAAGAACUUACAAAAUAAAACUUUCAUAAGACAGAUAAGAGAAAAUGGAGCAAGAGGUGAGGUCACCUGUCACUUCGGUUCUAUGGAAAGAGAACUCAUUACCUGCUCUCCCCAAACAUUAGGUAGCCUCCCAGAACAACACACACACACCCCUAUCUGCUACUGUCAAUUCAGUAGGGCGACCUACUAAGGUCUCUAAAAUGGGUUACAGUAUCAGACGAUAUACAACGCCACAAAGCAUCACAUAAAUGGGUAACUGUACAAAAAACAGUGCAUGUCAAAGUAAUAACUAGAUGAAUUUUUUCUUUCGGAAUGCAAGCCGUCUAAGCUGAUCUCCAAGAGCCUUUGCAAGUAAACCGCGGCACAAAAGUCCUUAAGCCUAAGCCUCACUUGCUGAAGCCCUCCACCGCGGGCGUUCCUACCAGGCGGUGACCAACUUUUGUGCUUCCCACAAUAGCGCUAAAGCGAUGCGGUGCAUCCCGCUGGUGAAACUCGGCAUGUGGCACUUAAAACGCCAAACCAGAAUCGCCCACAGCGCUGGCUGCAGGGCUCUCCCGGUUCCGCCGCGAUAACGCCGGGAGAUUAUCUGCAUUCAGCGCGAGGGCUUCAGGUCCAGGAAGAGAAGCGAAGCGAUAGCACGCGCACCCGGACCACGCUCAAGGCAAGGAAGCCCCAGCGCCCGGUGGGCCCAGGAAGCUGCCUAACCAGGGCAAAGCUCCGUGCCCUUUUCUAUGAAAGGGAGCGUGUGGCCGGCGGAACCAAAAGUAAACACGGAAAAUUCACUAGGAAUUUCCUGAUGGCCUACCGCGCACACGCAGGACACGAGUUAAGACGCUGGGAAAUGUUGAUGCCGGCAACCCCGUGGCGUGGUGUGUGCCUGCCCUGCAGCUGGACGGGAGGAAGCUCUGAAGCCCCUGGCUCUGAAAGAAUGGGGACUCCAGUAGGAAGGCAGGCGAGGAAUCAGGCCCAGAGAGUGCCUGCUAAAGCUCAAGGCCAGUACCGAGGACCAGGAAUGCAAGGACGUGCAAGGUGUGCACGAGGGCUGUGCUCACAGAGCCCAGGCUCCUCUGGAGAGGAGGGCACUUGUCCAGGAAGGGGAUGAUGAACAUGUGUGGACGAGAACUCUACAUACAUGCAAACAUGAAAAGAAUUCAUAAAAAAAGAAGAACCAGGAUAUAUCAUGUAUAGGUACCAAUUCCCUAUGAGGAAUGUGAUCAUUAUGUAUAUCUAAAUUGUACCAGUAAACUUAAAGAAAAAGGAAAUAAUUCACUUGCUUUUAAUUUUUUUUUUUUUUUUUUUUUUUUUUGGUCUUUUUGAGACAGGGUCUCAUUAUGCAGUUCAGGAUGGCCUUAAACUCACUUAUGGUCUGGGUGUGGUGGUGCAUGCCUGUGAUCCCAGCACUCGGGAGGCUGAG
Molecule: long non-coding RNA, 1532 nt
Filed under: Chinchilla lanigera (long-tailed chinchilla)
Lineage: Eukaryota; Metazoa; Chordata; Mammalia; Rodentia; Chinchillidae
Description: lncRNA (ENSCLAG00000029024.1)
Source: RNAcentral